This 526-nucleotide ribosomal RNA is filed under the name uncultured Pluteus. RNAcentral describes it as "eukaryotic LSU rRNA". It matches the Rfam family "Eukaryotic large subunit ribosomal RNA", at positions 89 to 616 of the family's 3401-position model. The record is from RNAcentral. Lineage: Eukaryota; Fungi; Basidiomycota; Agaricomycetes; Agaricales; Pluteaceae.
GCGAGUGAAGCGGGAAGAGCUCAAUUUGAAAAUCGUCUACCUAAGCGGGUCGACGAGUUGUAGCCUAGAGACGUACUAUCAGCUGAAACCUGGGUAUAAGUUCUUUGGAAUGAGGCAUCAUAGAGGGUGAGAAUCCCGUAUAUGACCCAAAGCUUUCAGCGUACGAUGUAUGUUCAUCGAGUCGAGUUGUUUGGGAUUGCAGCUCUAAAUGGGUGGUAAGCUUCAUCUAAAGCUAAAUAAUGGCGAGAGACCGAUAGCGAACAAGUACCGUGAGGGAAAGAUGAAAAGAACUUUGGAAAGAGAGUUAAACAGUACGUGAAAUUGUCGAAAGGGAAACGCUUGAAGUCAGUCACAUUGGCUGGAGAUCAACCUUGCUUUUGGAAGGUGUACUCUCUGGUUGAUGGGUCAGCAUCAAUUUUGACCAUUGGAAAAAGGUUAGGGGAAUGUGGCAUCCUUGGAUGUGUUAUAGCCCUUGAUUGUAUACAGUGGUUGGGAUUGAGGAACUCAGCACGCCGCAAGGCCGGGU